This is a long non-coding RNA of Pezoporus flaviventris, 1552 nucleotides long. RefSeq lists it as uncharacterized. The transcript is spliced from 4 exons. NCBI's taxonomy places the organism in Eukaryota, Metazoa, Chordata, Aves, Psittaciformes, Psittacidae. The record is from RefSeq and is a predicted model, not a curated record.
CUCUAUGUUUCUCCCAGCUCUCCGAACCCUGCACUCUGUACAGCCUCUCUCGGCAGUCCCCUGCUCUCCAGCUGCACGGGGUCUGAUGGGCCUUCUGUUAGCUUUUUGUUUGUCCUCUCAUCUAUGGUUUCCCCUAAAGGUUGCCCCUGAACAUCUUCCUUCUGCUGUUCCUUCCCACACACCACCCCCUGGGAGCCAGCUGCAGUGCACUUCAGUGUAUCAGGGCUUUUGCUAGCUUAGGUUCAGAAUAUGCUGUUGUCAAUGUGCCUGUGAUGACAAGCCCAUUCUGAGAAUUUUCUUCCUUCCAUUUAUGUUGGUAGAAUUACAACAAAGAGUGAAUAAGUAAGCAUCUUUUCCACAUCAAUUCUGAUUUUAUUGACCUAAAUGUCUCUUUUCCAAAUAAUGAAUCCUGCUGAUGUAGUUUUUCUCCAUACAGAAGGUGUCUCAACCUUUGGACCACCCCCUUUGUCUUUCUCCUACACCUGUAUCAUUUCUACAGUGAUUUUUCACAUUAUAGAACCUGAACUGUCACCAUAAGAUGGGUAAAUUCACACCAUCUGUACAAUGCCAUCAUUUAAUUUCUGGUUUGGCUUUUAUCCCGUUCCUAUAUACUGGCACAGUCUAUAGGCUAGGUCUCUGCAGUCACUUGGCAGAGCACUGGGGAGCAGAGGGGGCAAUGCUGUCCAAAUGGUCUCUCCCUCCAAUCACAGUUAAUAAAAAUCCUGUCUGACCUGUCCUAAAUUGUACCUGUGUUAUUAUGGGCUCAGAGUCUCCAGAUCACUGACGCUUGACAAAGCUGCAUGUCUUUCUGGCUGGUGUUAACAGUGAACUGAGAGCUUCCCACAGACCUACCAGCAGUGACUCCUAGUUCUCUUUCCUGAAAGAAACCUCCUGGGAGGGACCUUGUCAAAACCCUGUUGGAAACACAAGUGUGCUGCAUUGACAGCACCACUGCAAUCUGUGCUCUCACUGACUUUUUCCAAGGAGCUCAGUGGAUUUAUGAGGAAAGCUGAUGCAGUGGGAAUCUCCAUGAGAUGCUCUUACCUGGCUAGAGUCCACUUUGCUAUUCCUUUCUUGAAGACCUGUGGGCCUCAUUGACUACCUGACAGGCUGCCUGUUUGAGAAAGUUCCCUUAAACCAAUGGAUGAAAGAGCCCUAGGACCUGCGAAGGGCUGGAAGAGCUUCUGUCAGCUGCCAUGGGAUUAGGUCAAACUAUACGGGAGCAGGAAGGAUGGCACUGCUCAAGACACUGGUCCAAAUUUGUACACCUGAUUGAAACUCCACAAAGCCUGAGAACUUACACAAAGAUAAUUCAUUGUUAUACUUAACGGGAGGUUGGUUGUAUUGCAUCAGGUUCCCUUUAGGUUGCAGAGUACUUGGACAAAGCAGAUUCUUACCACACCAACAGGCAUCCUUUAAAAGCCUGGCAAUACUUCUGUAUAAAGAGAGACCACAGCUGCUUGAUUCAGAAAGCAGAUAAAAAAGUAAAUGUAUGAAUAGAGCCAAUAUGGAGUGGAAGAUGAACAAAACAAUAAAUGUAAUAGAAAAUCAA